UUUUUUUCUUCUAUUUUGUUGCGUCCACACUAUCAUAAUUCUGUUAUGAUUGUGUCUUUUGUGUUUCUUUUUGUGUUUGAGACAAGCAAAACCUUUAUGACUAGUCUUGGUGAGGGUUGUUUGAUCCUGCUGGAAAAUGCAGAAACUUUUCUCUCACGAGAUUAUUUUUCAUUUUUAUUCAGAAAUAGCUUUUGAGUUGAUUCUUUUUGCUGCUGGUUGAUAUGCCUUUUUCCCAGGCAGUCAUAAUGUUUCAGAAUUUUUGAGGUAACAGAAGUAUACGAAGUAUAUGGAUUGCUACAGGUUGGUCUGUUUUUGACAUAUUCUGUUUUUGUUGAGU
Molecule: long non-coding RNA, 337 nt
Filed under: Hordeum vulgare
Lineage: Eukaryota; Viridiplantae; Streptophyta; Magnoliopsida; Poales; Poaceae
Description: long non-coding RNA (HVUL_LNC016231)
Source: RNAcentral